This 1806-nucleotide small RNA is filed under the name Arabidopsis thaliana (thale cress). RNAcentral's name for it is "ATSL197400". Lineage: Eukaryota; Viridiplantae; Streptophyta; Magnoliopsida; Brassicales; Brassicaceae. The record is from RNAcentral.
CUUGGUUAGUAUUUGGAGUCAAAUAAGACAAGAUGUUAUGUGUUUGAUUGAGUAUAAGAACUAGAACCGCAACAUCUUCCCAAAAGCUAAAGUUGUGUUUCCCUUCUAGAAGAUACAAAGCCAAAAACUCAUACGGACUUUGGCUACACCAUCAAAGCUUUAAGAAGCAACAAGAAGUUUGGUUAGUGUUUUGGAGUCAAAAAAGACUAUAUGUCAUGUGUAGUAUUGAGUAUAAAAACUAGAACCGCAACUGGUUCCCAAAAGCAAAAGUUAUGUUUCCUUGUUAGAAGAUACAAAGCCAAAGACUCAUACGGACUUCGGCUACACCAUGAAAAUUUUGAGAAGCAAUAAGAAGCUUGGUUAGUGUUUUGGAGUCAAAUAUGACUAGAUGUCAUGUGUAUGAUUGAGUAUAAGAACUAGAAUGGCAACCGAUUCCCAAUAGCUAAAGUUAUGUUUCCUUGUUUGAAGAUACCAAGCUAAAGACUCAUACGGACUUCGUGUACACCAUCAAAAUUUUGAGAAGCAAUAAGAAGCUUGGUUAGUAUUUUAGAGUCAAAUAUUACAGGAUAUCAUGUGUAUCAUUGAGUAUAAGAACUAGGACCGCAACCGAUUCCCAAAAGCUAAAGUAAUGUUUCUUGUUUGUAGAUACAAAGCCAAAGACUCAUACCGACUUCGGCUACACCAUCAAAGCUUUGUGAGGCAAUAAGAAGCUUGGUUAGUUUUUCGGAAUCAAAUAUGGCUAGAUGUCAUGUGUAUGAUUGAGUAUAAGAACUAGAACCGCAACUAAUUCCCAAAAGCUAAAUUAAUGUUUCCUUGUUAGAAGAUACAAAGCUAAAAACUCAUACGGACUUCGGCUAAGCCAUUCAUGUUUUGAGAAGCAAUAGGAAGCUUGGUUAUUUUUUUGGAGUCAAAUAUGAUUGAUGUCAUGUGUAUGAUUGAGUAUAAGAACUAGAACCGCAACCGUUUCCCAAAAGCUAAAGUAGUGUUUCCUUGUUAGAACAUACAAAGCAAAAGAAUCAUAUGGACUUCAGCUACACCAUCAAAGCUUUGAGGAACAAUAAGAAAAGCUUUGUUAUGGUUUUGGAGUCACAUAUGACUAGAGGUCAUGUGGAUGAUUGAGUAUAAGAACUAGAACUGCAACUGGUUCCCAAAAGCUAAAGUAAUGUUUCCUAGUUAGAAGAUACAAAGCCAAAGACUCAUACGGACUUUGGCUACACCAUCAAAGUUUUGAGAAGCAAUAAGUAGCUUGGUUAGUAUUUUGGUGUCAAAUAAGACAAGAUGUUAUGUGUAUGAUUAAGUAUAAGAACUUUAACCACAACUGAUUCCCAAAAGCUAAAGUAAUGUUUCCUUGUUAGAAGAUACAAAGCUAAAAACUCAUACGGACUUCGGCUAAGCCAUCAAAAUUUUGAGAAGCAAUAAGAAGUUUGGUUAGUGUUUUGGAGUCAAAUAUGACUAGAUGUCAUGUGUAUGAUUGAGUAUAAGAACUAGAACCGCAACCGUUUCCCAAAAGCUAAAGUAGUGUUUCCUUGUUAGAAGCUACAAAGCCAAACACUCAUACAGACUUCGGCUACACCAUCAAAGUUUUGAGAAGCAAUAAGAAGCUUGGUUAGUAUUUUGGAGUCAAAUAAGACAAGAUGUUAUGUGUUUGAUUGAGUAUAAGAACUAGAACCGCAACAUCUUCCCAAAAGCUAAAGUUGUGUUUCCCUUCUAGAAGAUACAAAGCCAAAAACUCAUACGGACUUUGGCUACACCAUCAAAGCUUUAAGAAGCAACAAGAAGUUUGGUUAGUGUUUUGGAGUCAAAAAA